AAGUAUUGGAUGUGCGGAUACGGCGUAUUUCUCUGUAUGUAAGAACAUGAAUCUAACAUGUUCGCUAUUUUAACAGACUGAAUUGAACUGAAAUAUUUCCCCAAACCAAUAAAACAAAAAUAUAAAUACUUGUUAUCGUUUGCAUAUAUUGUAAGAUUAGGAUGUACUCGAAUGUGUUGUAUAUUAUCAGACACGGUUUAAUAUCGAAAUAGAGUAGUCAGCACGGUCGUAACAAAUUCUAUCUUAUAGUUGUCUAUAUUUGUCAACGAAAAUAUCAUGAAAUGAACCAACACUUCUAGACUUUAC
RNAcentral lists this long non-coding RNA (306 nucleotides) under Mytilus galloprovincialis (Mediterranean mussel). The record is from RNAcentral. Lineage: Eukaryota; Metazoa; Mollusca; Bivalvia; Mytilida; Mytilidae.